RNAcentral lists this ribosomal RNA (494 nucleotides) under uncultured bacterium. RNAcentral's name for it is "partial 16S ribosomal RNA". It matches the Rfam family "Bacterial small subunit ribosomal RNA", at positions 28 to 507 of the family's 1533-position model. The record is from RNAcentral.
GACGAACGCUGGCGGCGCGCUUAACACAUGCAAGUCGAACGGAAAGGCCUGCUUUCCCUUGUGGAUUGCGGGUACUCGAGUGGCGAACGGGUGAGUAACACGUGCGUGAUCUGCCCCCAACUUGGGUAUAAGCCUGGGAAACUGGGUCUAAUUCCCGAUAGGACUGCAGGGUGGUGCCUGUGGUGGAAAACGAUUUUCUAGUGGUUGGGGAUGAGCUCGCGGCCUAUCAGCUUGUUGGUGGGGUAAUGGCCUACCAAGGCGGCGACGGGUAGCCGGCCUGGGAGGGUGGACGGCCACAUUGGGACUGAGAUACGGCCCAGACUCCUACGGGAGGCAGCAGUGGGGAAGAUUGCACAAUGGGCGGAAGCCUGAUGCAGCGACGCCGCGUGGGGGAUGACGGCCUUCGGGUUGUAAACUCCUUUCGACCGCGAGGAAGCCACCUGGUUGGAAGGGUGGUGACGGUAGUGGUAGAAGAAGCACCGGCUAACUACGUG